Hipposideros armiger (great roundleaf bat) is the source of this 3911-nucleotide long non-coding RNA. RefSeq lists it as uncharacterized. The transcript is spliced from 4 exons. Lineage: Eukaryota; Metazoa; Chordata; Mammalia; Chiroptera; Hipposideridae. The record is from RefSeq and is a predicted model, not a curated record.
ACCAGACUGAGACCUCAUGAGCCCCUGAAGGGACAAGCCUCCCCCUCCAACAGGCACACCUCUGGGACCUGACCCGACGCCUCCACUUAUAGAUGCCCCCCUGUAGACACCACUGCGUCUGCAGUGGGGUCAGCCGAAAGCCCCCAGGCUCAGGGCUGACUGGGUGGCACCAACUGGGGCCCUGCAGCUGUCCUGGCCAACACACUUGCCCAGCAAUCAUGGGGGCAGGCUGCCACUGAGCCCAAGGGGCCAGCCAGCCUCAGGAGUCCAGGGGACAUGGGGUUUCCCCCUCAGAACACAAGUCAACAGUGAAUUGUUUGUGCAAAAUGAGCUGAACUCUGGACUAGCUCAGACUCUGCUUAGAGCCCCCUGCGCCCCCUGGCAAAGGCCUGCCAGCUGUCCCACAUGCAUACUGCCUCUUCCCAGGGAUGCUCCCAGCAGGAGGGCGGGCGUGAGGUCGUCCUCUAGGCCCAGCAGAGAACCUUAACAGGCAGGGUGCGCUCCUGCUGGGGCCUGUCCUUGGGGGCAGGGGUCCCCACCGCUCUGUGGGCCCUCCCCUGGGAAGCACAUGGACCCCCAACUCCACUUGGGCAGCCGUCCAGGGCCAGGGAGGGCUCUGAGGAGUCAGGAGGGGACGGGCAGCCCUGGGGCGUCCUAGCGCACAGCCGCUCACGGCGGGGUCACAGGCACGAAGGUGCCAGGUAAGGCAGCUCUGCGUGGGCUGGGCCGCCACCCCCACCGUUCAGUGCCGGCUGCUGCCCCUCUAGGCCUCAGUCUCUCCGUAAUUCUCACCAGCCUGCAGCCUCCAAGGGCCCGUUAGAGAAAGAACGUGUGCAAGUGAACUGCGCUCGGGGACCCAAAGCUGCGGUGCCCAGUGUCCAGACGCCCUGGAGAAGAUGGGAGGAGGAAGCGGGGCCCAGACGCCCUGGGAGCCCAGCCUUCAAGAGGUGUGCACGCGUGCUCCUGGCUGAGGCCAGACGGGGACAGACCACCCCCAGGUGGCAUCCUCAGAAGUCACUGGAGGCUUUAGGGCAGCGGGCCCACCCCGCUGCUGGGGCAGGCCACGGCCGCCCCUCACGCAGAAGCACUGGCUCAGUCUGUGUUUACAGCGAAAAGCCCACCUCAGGAGCCUUGGAUCUAAAGGUUUCUCCGGCCGGCCGGCAGGCCCACGCCGCCAGGAAAUUUCAUUAACGCUGGAAAAUAGGAAAGGUAUUAAGCGUGGGUAAUGAAGGCGGGGCGAGCGGUGCCUUCAGAUGGCCCUCUCUCCCGCCUUUGUAAUGGGAGGCAUGAACUCUCUCUUCAAAUCCAUUUCUAAUCCAUUUGAAAUACUACAGCAAAUUAUCUUUCCUUCAGCCCGAAAGCGGCCAGCCAAUUUACUCCGAAUAGCAGUGACAAUGCCCCGGGAUUUAUCACCAUAACCUUGACUACACCAGGGUGAGGGCUGGGCCUCCCCUCACCCCCCCCCCGGGGGGGCACAAAGGACAGGUGGGGGGAGAUAACGUUUUAAAUGAAAAGCGGUGGUAAUGGGGAGAAGACACACAAUGCCACAAAAGUGGGUUUCGAGGAAAAGCUGCCGUCCCCAGUCUGCUGCACGGCCAGCAGCUGGGAGUUCCCGGUGCAAGGCCAUCCCAGGGUGUGGAGGGUGACAGUGGGGCCAGCACAUGCUGGGCUGGUGAAAGAUCCCAGGGAAAAGGAACCCCAAGGAGGGCAUGGCCAGCACAGGCGGAGGCUGUCCCUGGGAAGCGGGGGCCAGUGUGGGUGUGCCCGCUCUGGCAGGCCCGCCCUGGACACCCCAGCGCCCUGAGCCCUGAGCCACCACCCAGGCAGGUCCAUGCAGUCCCAACACUGCGCAGGGCACCUCUGCCCACUACACAGGCUGCACAGCUGAGAUGGACCCCCCAAGGCGUCCGCAGCUACGGAGCCUGGCAGCAAGGACACAGGUACGCACACGAGAAGCCGACAGGCCGGCCGGCCCCUGAACCCGCAGGCACACGGGGCACACACACCAUUCACCCGUGACAGGACCUGAGAAGCCUUUCCAAGGUCCGGCUGCUCACCCACCCCACCCUGGGUGCUGCGCCCGGUGGGCUGCCUCCCCUGCACCCCAGACCCUGGGCACAUCAGAUGAGGGCUGGGGGAGGGCUGCUCCUGACCAAGGGCAGACUCAGGGGCAGGAGGGCCAUGAGGGGAGGAGGUAGCCUCGCCCCAGGGGCCCCGGGGCAGCCUUCAGACAGACUUGGGACGCCCCAGGCAGGGCGGGUGCCCCACCUCCUGACCAGGGGCAGCCGCCUUUCAACACACACCGCCUCGGCAGCCCGGCUUUUCCUCCGCUGUCAUGGCUGAGGGGACCUCAGCCCCCCACUCUGUCUAUUCAAUGCUGAGGCUUUCCAAGGCCUUUCAGAGCAGUGUGCCCUGAGGCCAGCCAGGCACACGUCCUAUGGACCGGAGUGGGGCUGGGCACAGACCUUCAUACUGAGCAAGAAGGUGCUGUUUCUUGCAGUGAAGCACCUUGGGCACGGGUCUGUGGGUGGGGGGACGCAGGGCGGGUGACCCCGAGGGCUGGGGCAGGGUCAGCGUGUGGCCGGGCCGCCCAGGCAGUGGUGCCCGGGAGGGAGGCGGGCACGCUGGCUGGGGAGCAGAGAAAACAACCGGGGAGGCAGUUCUCAGGAAAUGGAGCACGACUGCGAAGCUGCAAGGCGAGCAGGGACUGCGCCGUCAGCAGAAGGGCGGCAGGCAGCUCUGCACAGCAAAUUCCAAGUAGGUCAGGCCCUGCGCCACCGUGACAGGCUGCACACUGCUUAGUGGGCUUUCCACAGAAUCGCUGACGGGCCACCGCACACCGCCUGCGAGGGGCGAGCCCCAGCCCCGGCCCCGGCUCCGGCUCCAGCUCCUGCCCCAACCCCGGCUCCGGCACCAGCCCCAGGCCCCAGCCCCGGCUCCUGCCCCGGCCUCCUGCUCCGUGCCCCUAGACCCCCCUGCCCUGGGCUGCUGCAGCCUGUGCCCACUCUGCCCGGCAGGGAUGAAGCUCCAGCCCCCAUGGUAGAGCACAGCUCCCCUCAGACACUCCCAGGUCAGGGCCAGUGCAGGACAGGGCCCCUCACCUCAGGAGCCCACCCCCCCAGGCACACUGGGUGGUCUGUAGGGUGGUUCUGGGUGGAGGCAGAUGGAGUUCCUCAGGUGAGCAGGGCCAGCAGGGUGGGAGGUGAGGGAGAGCCAAAGGCAGGUGUGCCACGCUCCACAGGGGUCUAAGAAGCGGGGCUCAGGCGCCAGUGACACAGCAGAUGGUGAAGGCCUCACGGGACCGUGGCCGCCUGACCUCACAGGACCCUCCUCAAACCAGACUCGCUCCUGGGCUGGGCACCACGCCUGCUGGGGCCAAGCACCCUGCAGCCAUUCCCGCAGCGGCCUGGCUCUCUGCACCCACCUUCCUGAGGUGCUGCUCCCUCCCGAGGGGCCCCCACCAUCUCUUCCUGGUAAUGAACAGAAAUGACAGGCGUCCUGGCCAGCUGGCGCGCUGGUGGGCGACACUGCUUGUGCUGCGUCCGUCUGUUACAAACACUGCAACUCCAUCAUGAGGGGCUGGGCUAUGUCAUGUGCUCACAUCUAUUCAAUUGGUAUUUCGAUCAAUGGAUGCAUUACAAGCUUUCCCUUUAAGAGCCUAAUAAACAACAAGAUGGAAAGUAAAAUUCUCCAUAAAAUGACACUUUUAAAAAUCCAUUUCAGCUGAAACGAGUGGUGUUUUGUAUGUUAGCUGCAAACACAGGCAUUAUUGGGCCUUAACAGCCCCACUUAGGAGGGCCGAGUUCAGCUUGAGGGGCAGAGGGCUGGGGGUCUAGGGCUGGGGUGGGGCCCAGGUUUCACCCUCCAGGCUGGGCUGUCGGCCCAGGACCCCCUCGGCAUGUGACAGCUGG